UUCCCGACUCCAUAACAGGUAACAAGCAGACACUAACAGGGCAUCGAAUUUUGGAGGCGUUUAAGUUCGGGUAUGCUUAUCGUCCGUUCAUUGGUGAUCGAGAAUUUUAUCCUAUUGUUGAAAAAUCUCUGGUUGUUCAA
This is a long non-coding RNA of Xenia sp. Carnegie-2017, 140 nucleotides long. RefSeq lists it as uncharacterized. Lineage: Eukaryota; Metazoa; Cnidaria; Anthozoa; Malacalcyonacea; Xeniidae. The record is from RefSeq and is a predicted model, not a curated record. The transcript has 3 exons.